UAGGGAAUCUUCGGCAAUGGACGAAAGUCUGACCGAGCAACGCCGCGUGAGUGAAGAAGGUUUUCGGAUCGUAAAACUCUGUUGUUAGAGAAGAACAAGGACGUUAGUAACUGAACGUCCCCUGACGGUAUCUAACCAGAAAGCCACGGCUAACUACGUGCCAGCAGCCGCGGUAAUACGUAGGUGGCAAGCGUUGUCCGGAGUUAUUGGGCGUAAAGCGAGCGCAGGCGGUUUCUUAAGUCUGAUGUGAAAGCCCCCGGCUCAACCGGGGAGGGUCAUUGGAAACUGGGAGACUUGAGUGCAGAAGAGGAGAGUGGAAUUCCAUGUGUAGCGGUGAAAUGCGUAGAUAUAUGGAGGAAAACCAGUGGCGAAGGCGGCUCUCUGGUCUGUAACUGACGCUGAGGCUCGAAAGCGUGGGGAGCAAACAGG
This 429-nucleotide ribosomal RNA is filed under the name Gemmatimonadota bacterium. Its description in RNAcentral is "Gemmatimonadetes bacterium partial 16S ribosomal RNA". It matches the Rfam family "Bacterial small subunit ribosomal RNA", at positions 355 to 776 of the family's 1533-position model. The record is from RNAcentral. Lineage: Bacteria; Pseudomonadati; Gemmatimonadota.